Molecule: ribosomal RNA, 253 nt
Filed under: uncultured bacterium
Lineage: Bacteria
Description: partial 16S ribosomal RNA
Rfam family: Bacterial small subunit ribosomal RNA
Source: RNAcentral
UACGUAGGGGGCAAGCGUUGUCCGGAAUCAUUGGGCGUAAAGCGCGUGUAGGCGGCCAGAAAAGUCCGCUGUGAAAACUCGAGGCUCAACUUCGAGCUGUCGGUGGAAACUUUCUGGCUAGAGUCCGGAAGAGGAGAAUGGAAUUCCUGGUGUAGCGGUGAAAUGCGCGGAUAUCAGGAGGAACACCGGUGGCGAAGGCGGGUCUCUGGGCCGAUACUGACGCUGAGGAGCGAAAGCGUGGGGAGCGAACAGG